Molecule: ribosomal RNA, 253 nt
Filed under: uncultured bacterium
Lineage: Bacteria
Description: partial 16S ribosomal RNA
Rfam family: Bacterial small subunit ribosomal RNA
Source: RNAcentral
AACGUAGGAGACAAACGUUAUCCGGAGUUACUGGGCGUAAAGGGCGUGUAGGCGGUCCGGUAAGUCCGCUGUGAAAGUCGGGGGCUCAACCCUCGAAUGCCGGUGGAUACUGUCGGGCUAGAGUGCGGAAGAGGCGAGUGGAAUUCCUGGUGUAGCGGUGAAAUGCGCAGAUAUCAGGAGGAACACCUAUUGCGAAGGCAGCUCGCUGGGACGUUACUGACGCUGAGACGCGAAAGCGUGGGGAGCAAACAGG